GACGAACGCUGGCGGCGUGCUUAACACAUGCAAGUCGAACGGACAGGCCCUGCUUUUGUGGGGUGCUCGAGUGGCGAACGGGUGAGUAAAACGUGAGUAACCUGCCCUUGUAUUUGGGAUAACUUCAGGAAACUGGGGAUAAUACCGGAUAGGAGCUCCUGCUGCAUGGUGGGGGUUGGAAAGUUUCGGCGGUUGGGGAUGGACUCGCGGCUUAUCCGCUUGUUGGUGGGGUAGUGGCUUACCAAGGCUUUGACGGGUAGCCGGCCUGAGAGGGUGACCGGCCACAAGGGGACUGAGAGACGGCCCAGACGCCUACGGGAGGCAGCAGGGGGGAAUAUUGCACAAUGGGCGGAAGUCUGAGGCAGAAACGCUGCGUGCGGGAUGACGGCCUUCGGGUGGUAAACAGCUUUCGCCGGUGACGAAGCGGGAGUGACGGUAAUGGGUAAAGAAGCACCGGCUAACUACGUG
This 468-nucleotide ribosomal RNA is filed under the name uncultured bacterium. RNAcentral's name for it is "partial 16S ribosomal RNA". It matches the Rfam family "Bacterial small subunit ribosomal RNA", at positions 28 to 507 of the family's 1533-position model. The record is from RNAcentral.